AUACCAGCCCCGCGAGCGGUCGGGGUGCUUACUGGGCCUAAAGCGCCCGUAGCCGGCUCGACAAGUCCCCGCCUAAAGCCCCGGGCUCAACCCGGGGAGUGGCGGGGAUACUGUCGGGCUAGGGGGCGGGAGAGGCCGAGGGUACUCCCGGGGUAGGGGCGAAAUCCACUAAUCCCGGGAGGACCACCAGUGGCGAAGGCGCUCGGCUGGAACGCGCCCGACGGUGAGGGGCGAAAGCCGGGGGAGCGAACCGGAUUAGAUACCCUAGUAGUCC
Molecule: ribosomal RNA, 274 nt
Filed under: uncultured bacterium
Lineage: Bacteria
Description: partial 16S ribosomal RNA
Rfam family: Archaeal small subunit ribosomal RNA
Source: RNAcentral